CAAAUUGUUAAUUACCCACAGCUUUCUAAACUCACAGCUGUUUGCUGUGUGCAACAGGCUGAUAGCCCUCUUGGUUCCAAGGGGUUUUCAACUUCCUAUGUGUCAGCAAGUUCAAGAGAAAAAUUUUAAGGCAAAUGGGCAUUUUGUUGCCACAAUGUAGUGGGGUAAUUUCCAGGAUGCUCUAAAACUCCGAAGCUGCUGCGGGUCAUCUGUAAACUCAGAACUGUAAACAUGGAGGGAGCGUUUCCGGUGACCUGAAGGCUGGAGAGGUCUCAGUCAGAUGCAUGUGUGUAUUUGGGACUUUUGCAACUGAAGCUUCGAGCAUCCUUCACUAGAAACACGAAUCAGAGUGCUCUGUACACGGCAGGUCCUCCUCUAGAUCCUGAUCGAGGCCAAGAUCUGAAGGAAGUGUCCAUAAGGAAUGAUUAACCAUCGUUAGGUUGCUAAACCACUCCAGGACUUUUAACUAGAUGAAGAAAAGAAUAUUUGCCAGCUCUCGUCUCCGAGAACAUUCUUGCCUGUGUUUGGAAGGAAAUACUCUGAUAAACUGCAUGGAGUGUGAGGAAGAAUUGAAUAAAAGGAAGAACUUUCUUGAAUUUCCAACGUUGCAGGUCCUUCUGGUUGUGGCAUGUGGGACGCUGCCUCAGCAUGGCAUGAUGAGCAGUGCCACGUCCGCGCCCAGGAUCCGAACCUACGAAACCCUGGUCUGUAGAAGCAGAGUGCGCACGCCUAACCACUCACUCAACCACGGAG
This 753-nucleotide long non-coding RNA is filed under the name Equus caballus (horse). RNAcentral describes it as "lncRNA (ENSECAG00000053558.1)". The record is from RNAcentral. Lineage: Eukaryota; Metazoa; Chordata; Mammalia; Perissodactyla; Equidae.